This 2681-nucleotide long non-coding RNA is filed under the name Nicotiana tabacum (common tobacco). Its description in RNAcentral is "long non-coding RNA (NTAB_LNC006225)". The record is from RNAcentral. Lineage: Eukaryota; Viridiplantae; Streptophyta; Magnoliopsida; Solanales; Solanaceae.
UUUUUUUUUUUGGUUUUCGAAAGAUAAACGACCGAAGAAGAAUGAACAUUUUUGGAUUUUCAGUUUCUCUUUAUUUUUUGGAGCUCAAUCAAUUUUUCAAGAAUUUUGUUGAAAUUUUCGCAAGAAAAACUUAAUUUAAUUAAAUUUGUUUUUUUGACUUUUGGAUUUAAUGUCUCAAAGAAAGAAUUACAGAAAAAUAUUUUUUGACUUUUUUUUUGAAAUUGGGGCCGGACCCGAUAAUUGUUGCCUACGUAUCUCACAUCCGGUGAGAAUUAGACCCCCGUAGUUCGUAAAUAUUUCAGGAAUGAGAUGACACUUUUUGAAAAUCUUUAGGCUUAUUUUCUAAUAAUCUUUUUGGGGUAAAACUUUGACAGGGUUUUUGGAUUUUUGAAAUACCGGGAUUUUUCGAAAAUCGAGUAAAUUUUCUCUCUCCUAUUUUCUCCCUUCUAGGUUUUCCUCAAUUUUCUCCAUAUUUUUAGAAGCCGGUCAACAUGUACAAACCGAAUCAGCAAAAUGCAUAAGUAGCACAUAAGAUGCAUCAGAAUGGCCUCAUAAUUUUCAAGUACACCUGUCCUAGAUGGACCCAACCCUUGUAUUGAGUCCCCAAAGUCAAAUAUACAUGAUGCAAAUAAACGUUCCUACUAGGGAUCCGACAUUAGGCUAUGUUAUUCUAGGUUUAAAUCCUAAGGGGAGAAUUUUAGACCUGGCUUACUCAAGCAGACAGCUCGAGCCGUGCUGGGAGCAACGUACUGGGAGCACGAAAGUCUACCCGGCCUAGUUACUGAACCAACUCCAUUCUAAUUGGUACGACCUCUAACAGAAAAGUGGGCCACAUGCACGUGUGCACCAAAAAUUUAGAAGACAUAAGGGAAGCGUAAGAAGAUAGUUUAAUACAGUUCAAAUAAUAUCAAAGCGGUAAAUAAGCGAUAAUUAGCGCAUUAAGCCCACAAAUACAGUAAUAACAUCCAAUCAAUAAAGCCAAGUAUAGAUCACAUACAAGCUCGAAUUGUAAAUCUUAAACCAAAAAUUCUGGGUUUUUCUCCCCAGCAGAGUCGCCGCCGCACCUCUAUUUUUCGGGGAUAGUGGAAAGAAAAGAGUUUUUCUAAUUAAAGUGACAUUAUUUGAAAAGGGAUUGAUUUUAUUUAUUUUAAAAGUCGCAAGUUGGAAUUAUUUUACUUCUGGUGUUCCAAGUCACCGAUUUGUUUAAAAUCCCAAUUCAAGGAAGUUUGAUUCUGUUUACGGUCUGCGAAAUACAGAAGACCGGUAAGGAAUUCUGUUAACCCGGGAGAAGGUGUGAGACACUCCCGAGUUAUGUGGUUUUAGCACGGUCACUUGAAAAUUCAUACUUUGACUUGAUUAUCUCAUUUUUACAUGUUUAAAACCUAUGUACAUUUUUAUCUUUCACCGCUUUUAAAUUACUUUGUUGUUUAUAGUUAUGGAAUUAUCUUGAAACGAACCACGUAUGUAUGUAUUCACUUUGUUUGGUAUGACAAAAUCAUGUCACGCGUACGUGUACACAAUAAAUAACACUUUAUUAUUAUUAAAAUUAUUUUGCCCAAAGUUGCACGAACGCAUACCUUGGUUUUAAUUUUGGAAAUCGUAAUUAUAUCACAUGAACGUAUACAUAAUCAUGAUGAUUCAAUUAUUUUCGAGCACGCUUAAAGCAUACUAGCGAUUCACUUAAUUCCUAAAGUUAUAUGUUAUGGGAUUUAGGAAGAUAUGCUAUUUUGAUUUAUGGUUUUUGGGCUUGGACAAGAGUAAGUUCAUUUGACCCAUCAAUUCAUUUAUCAAACUGGCAUGAACUAACAAAAGUUACUAGUUUUAAAUCUAAUCCAAUUUCUGAUUUUUCAAGACAAAUAGACAUCCCAACUUCCUUAACUAAUGGGCAAUGGUCCAGAAAUGUAUUACAACUUCUUAUCCAACUAAUUAAGCCAAGUGACCAUACAGCCCAAGUAGGACCCAAGUCUUAUUAUUCGAUGUUUGGGAGCGAAGAACUGGCAGCGGCGGAGCUACGACAAGGUAUGAAAGUCGAUGGUUUUGAGCUGAUUUUUUCACGUUGGUUUAAGGUGUUUCAGGUGGUGUUUUAGGCGAUUUUCAGCUGGGUUUGGACUGGUUUUCAAAGGUGGUUCGCUGCUGACUUUUGGUGAAAAAGGGUGGUUGUUUCGUUGGAGUUUGGGGUGAGUUUCAUGGCUGUUUGGUUGCUGUAUUUUGGGGGUAGUUUCAGUUGCAUUUUUGGCUAUUAAAUUGAGUUUUAGCGAGCUGUUCUUGCUAGUUUUCACAGUGGAUUUAAGUUGUUUCCAUGGAAAAUUCAAGGUGAGUUUUAGGCUGGUAUUUAAGCUGCGUUUUCAUGGAGUUUCUGCUUGUUUUUCAUGGCUGAAACUUGGUGCUAUUUAGUUGGGAAAGACGGCUGCUUUAAUGGUAUUUUGGGUGAAGAAUAGCUACUGUUUUGUGGCUAAAAACCAGUAGCUAGUGAUUAUAGGGAGCAGAAGAAAGCUACUUAUUUUUGUGUGUGAAGCUGACAAAUUUAAUUGCGGCGCUUUUACGUGAAGAAGCAGCCGAUUUCAAGCUCUUCUUUUUAUCUACUCUUAACUCUCCUUCUCCUUUUUGUUCAUAGUUUUCUCUCUUCCCAAAAUAUUGCUUCCCCUUUCAUAUGCAAGUGUUAAUUAUAUAUAUAUAUAUNN